AUUGAACGCUGGCGGCAGGCCUAACACAUGCAAGUCGAACGAGUGGCGGACGGGUGAGUAAUGUCUGGGAAACUGCCUGAUGGCGGGGGAUAACUACUGGAAACGGUAGAUAAUAAUGCAUACCAUCAGAUGUUCCCAGGUGGGAUUAGCUUGUUGGUGGGGUAACGGCUCACCAAGGCGACGAUCCCUAGCUGGUCUGAGAGGAUGACCAGCCACACUGGAACUGAGACACGGUCCAGAAUCCUACGGGAGGCAGCAGUGGGGAAUAGUGCACAAUGGGCGCAAGCCUGAUGCAGCCAUGCCGCGUGUAUGAAGAAGGCCUUCGGGUUGUAAAGUACUUUCAGCGGGGAGGCGUUACCCGCAGAAGAAGCACCGGCUAACUCCGUGCCAGCAGCCGCGGUAAUUC
This 406-nucleotide ribosomal RNA is filed under the name uncultured bacterium. RNAcentral describes it as "partial 16S ribosomal RNA". It matches the Rfam family "Bacterial small subunit ribosomal RNA", at positions 30 to 526 of the family's 1533-position model. The record is from RNAcentral.